GCAAGUCGAACGGUAACAGCGGAGCUUGCUCCGGCUGACGAGUGGCGCACGGGUGAGUAACGCGUACGCAACCUACCCUACAGAGGGGGAUAGCCCUGGGAAACUGGGAGUAAACCGCCAUAGUUUUGUUGUAUCGCAUGAUACUGACAAAUAAAGUUUAGGUGCUGUAGGAUGGGCGUGCGUUUGAUUAGCUAGUUGGUAAGGUAACGGCUUACCAAGGCUGUGAUCAAUAGGGGGCGUGAGAGCGUGAUC
Molecule: ribosomal RNA, 252 nt
Filed under: uncultured bacterium
Lineage: Bacteria
Description: partial 16S ribosomal RNA
Rfam family: Bacterial small subunit ribosomal RNA
Source: RNAcentral